Molecule: ribosomal RNA, 679 nt
Filed under: Kocuria flava
Lineage: Bacteria; Bacillati; Actinomycetota; Actinomycetes; Micrococcales; Micrococcaceae
Description: bacterial SSU rRNA
Rfam family: Bacterial small subunit ribosomal RNA
Source: RNAcentral
UUUGCCAAUGGGCGCAAGCCUGAUGCAGCGACGCCGCGUGAGGGAUGACGGCCUUCGGGUUGUAAACCUCUUUCAGCAGGGAAGAAGCCACAAGUGACGGUACCUGCAGAAGAAGCGCCGGCUAACUACGUGCCAGCAGCCGCGGUAAUACGUAGGGCGCAAGCGUUGUCCGGAAUUAUUGGGCGUAAAGAGCUCGUAGGCGGUUUGUCGCGUCUGCUGUGAAAGCCCGGGGCUCAACCCCGGGUCUGCAGUGGGUACGGGCAGACUAGAGUGCAGUAGGGGAGACUGGAAUUCCUGGUGUAGCGGUGAAAUGCGCAGAUAUCAGGAGGAACACCGAUGGCGAAGGCAGGUCUCUGGGCUGUUACUGACGCUGAGGAGCGAAAGCAUGGGGAGCGAACAGGAUUAGAUACCCUGGUAGUCCAUGCCGUAAACGUUGGGCACUAGGUGUGGGGGACAUUCCACGUUCUCCGCGCCGUAGCUAACGCAUUAAGUGCCCCGCCUGGGGAGUACGGCCGCAAGGCUAAACUCAAAGGAAUUGACGGGGGCCCCGCACAAGCGGCGGAGCAUGCGGAUUAAUUCGAUGCANCGCGAAGAACCUUACCAAGGCUUGACAUCCCCCGGAACCGCACUGGAAAACAGUGCUUCCCUUCGGGGCUGGUGGACAGGUGGUGCAUGGUUU